AAAGAUGACCUUUCUGAUAUUACAAAAAGACAGAGAGAGAAAGAGACAGGUGAGACUAUAGAGAGAGACAUGGGAGGAGAGAGUAAGACAGGUGAAGGUCAACUUUUGCAAAGACCAAACUACCCUAAAUAUAUUUUUUAUCAUCACAUGACUCGCAUGUUUUCGUGUGUGUGUGUGUGUGUGUGUGUGUGUGUGUGUGUGUGUGUGUGUGUGUGUGUGUGUGUGUGUGUGUGUGUGUGUGUGUGUGUGUGUGUGUGUGUGUGUGUGUGUGUGUGUGUGUGUAAAUACAUUUGAAGGGCUGUGGAAUGAAGACAAGAACAGGUUUGUAGCAAACGACAUUCUUUAUAUGAGAGAGAGAGAGAGAGAGAGAGAGAGAGAGAGAGAGAGAGAGAGAGAGAGAGAGAGUGAGUCAGACUGAGUACUUGUAGCAGUAUGCUGCUGGAUUGCCAAGUCGUGGUUCCUCUCAUUCCCUCGCAUACAGAUGGGUGUGUGUGUUGUGGUCAUAGAGAGAAAAAGGAGUGUCUGGCCUGUUAAUGUCUAACUUUCCUUAUUCAACUGUGUGUUGCUUCUGGAUCACUAAGCUGUCUAGAAAUGCACCUGGGUUCAUCUGUUUCUACGUACUUGACGUUCUUUUCUGCAGGCCGUACUGAGAAGGUAAACCUUAAGCCUCCAUCACCAGUGAAACAUCAUCAGUGAAACACCCAGUUCAAGACGUCUUUAAUGUCACCCCCCCAACUGUUUACUGAUACAGUUGCAUACACAUGCAACUGGACACUGUUGGGCCCUGGGAGCCAUGCUCAGUGGAGGAGGAGGUGUUUACCUUGGUGGUUAGGAUGAGGAGGAGUUGUUAACUUCUUGGUUAGGGUGCUGAGUUGUUACCUUAGUGGUAAGGGUGCUGAGGUGUUACCUUAGGUGUUAGGGUGCUGGAGGAGGUGUUUCAUUAGUGGUUAGAGUGAGGAGGUGUUACCUUAGUGGUUAGGGUGCUGGAGAAGGUGUUACCUUAGUGGUUAGGGUGCUGAGGUGUUACCUUAGUGGUUAGGGUGAGGAGGUGAAACCUUAGUGGUUAGGGUGCUGGAGAAGGUGUUACCAUAGUGGUUAGGGUGCUGGAGAAGGUGUUACCAUAGUGGUUAGGGUGCUGAGGUGUUGCCUUAGUGGUUAGGGUGGGGAGGUUUUACCUUAGUGGUUAGGGUGCUGAGGUGUUACCUUAGUGGUUAGGGUGAGGAGGUGAAACCUUCGUGGUUAGGGUGCUGGAGAAGGUGUUACCAUAGUGGUUAGGGUGCUGGAGAAGGUGUUACCUUAGUGGUUAGGGUGCUGAGGUGUUGCCUUAGUGGUUAGGGUGGGGAGGUGUUACCUUAGUGGUAAGGAUGCGGAGGAGGUUUUACCUUAGUGGUUAGUGUGCUGAGGUGUUACCUUAGUGGUUAGGGUGAGGAGGUGAAACCUUAGUGGUUAGGGUGCUGGAGAAGGUGUUACCAUAGUGGUUAGGGUGCUGAGGUGUUACCUUAGUGGUUAGGGUGAGGACAUUUUACCUUAGUGGGGUGUUUUUGUGUAUAUAUAUGCUGAUUAUUUUGCAUUCAAAUAUUUCCUUUAUCUCUCUUCUCUUCAAUAGAACUAUUCAUACCAGCAGUCUGUGUGUCUGUGUGUGUGUGUGUGUGUGUGUGUGUGUGUGUGUGUGUGUGUGUGUGUGUGUGUGUGUGUGUGUGUGUGUGUGUGUGUGUGUGUGUGUCUGUGUGUGUGUG
Gadus macrocephalus (Pacific cod) is the source of this 1736-nucleotide long non-coding RNA. RefSeq lists it as uncharacterized. The record is from RefSeq and is a predicted model, not a curated record. Lineage: Eukaryota; Metazoa; Chordata; Actinopteri; Gadiformes; Gadidae. The transcript is spliced from 3 exons.